This is a long non-coding RNA of Pipistrellus kuhlii (Kuhl's pipistrelle), 1876 nucleotides long. RefSeq lists it as uncharacterized. NCBI's taxonomy places the organism in Eukaryota, Metazoa, Chordata, Mammalia, Chiroptera, Vespertilionidae. The record is from RefSeq and is a predicted model, not a curated record. The transcript has 3 exons.
GGUGGACAGCUGCAGGGACCCAGGGUUUGCCUGCCUCCGAUCAGCCCGGGGAAGAACCUGGGGCUCCGGGGUCUGGGAAUUCGAGCUGCAUCUGCUUUUCCUGCUGCUCACGAGCACCAGGCACUCUGGACUUGCUCUGGGUCCAGCGGGUCUUCUUUUUUUGCGCGUUGAGUGGCAUGAGACUCGGCAGUUGCCAAGGGCACUCACGUUCAAGUGCAAGUUCUCCGUGCAUUUCAGCAGCCUCCCUGGCUCCCAGGGACAGCUUUCCGAGGCUGCCUCCUGGAGGCUGCUGGGAACCAGGCUGGGCAGCAGGGAUGGAAGCAGACCCUCUCCCCCGAUGCUGGCAGAAGGGCACGCACCCAGUUCCUGGCCCUGCGCUUCCGUCUCCCCCGCAGACCUCACCUUGGCAGGGAGACGCUCUUCCGGGCUCAGUAACUCCAACUCAGAAACCAAACUCCCCAUCACCACCACCUUAAGUCAGGGUUCCUGCCCACAACCUGUGGGAUGCGGCCUAAGCCACACCCGGGGGCCUGGCAGAUGGGAGAGUCUGGAGGAGCAAAGCCGGAUUCCUGGUACAUGGCAGCGAGUGUGGUUUGGCAUGUAAGUUCUUUUCCCCUGGAGCUGCAGGUGAACUUUUCCCCUGGAGAUCUGAGUUCUUUUCCCCUGGAGCUGCAGGUGAACUUUUCCCCUGGAGAUCUGAGUUCUUGGGGAGCUGCAGGUGAACCUGGGGGCUUUCUGCGUGGGCGUGUGUGUCUGUGCGGUUUUGUUUUGUGACGACGCAUUAAUAAAAGGCGAAAGCCCCACACUGUGUGUCCCGCAGCCUCUCUUUGGGCCCUGGCCCCUGCCGUUCCGGGAGGAGGAUCUGAACUAGUACUGCUCUGACGGUGGGAAAUGGUGCCAAUCCAAAGCAACUUGCCUCUCCUCUCCCGUGAGCCUCCGGGACGGGGCCUUGUUUUAGGGGCAGCUCUUCUGCGCUUCCCUGUCCUCUUUCAGGAAACGUGGCAGUUAUCCGGGUGUGAGAAGAGACCCCGAAGCUCACCUGUGCCGUUACGUCUGGGGUGUCAGCUUGGGGCUCCACACCAGGGUGAACCCUUCCGGGAGGAGGGGGUGGGGUCAGUGAGGUGCAGAACUUUGAGUUGCCAAGGUUACAGUUGUACUCUUAACCUGGCAGAGGCCAGAAUGUGACAGCUGACUUUGGAACGUACUCGGAUCCAGCCUUGCCUUUCAGAGGGCCAGGAAAAGUGUGUGUGUGUUUUGGGGGGGGGCAGCCAUAUAUUUAAAAAGACCUGGCCACUUUUCAGGAUGAUUUGUGGAGACUGCCAAGGUGUGAGGAUCAGGAACGAAAAUGCUUUUUUUGUGUGUGAGUUCAAGUUCUAAAUCUUGUUGACCUAUCACUUACCAAAAAAUAGGUUAAGUGUCAGCAAAAAAAUUUGGAUUUUUGCCUGGGCUGGUGAGAGUUGGUACAAAUGUUCAUGUUUGCCUAGGAGGUGAGGAGACCAUCCACCAAAGAGGAAGUCGUUAAAUAGCACGGAUCUGCGGGUGUUUUAACACUCAAGCCAUCUGGAUUUUUUUUUUAUGGAUUAAAAAAAAAAAACUACUUUAGGAAAAUUGAGAGUUUAGAUCCCUUAACUUCCAAACUUAUGUAGGUAAAAGUAAGACACCCAUUAGACUAAAUUGAAAGUCUUGGUUCCUCUAGAUUUGCGUGACCUUGGGAAUGUUGUUUUGCUAGUGGAGCCUAGGAUGGCCGAGGCUUCCUCUCUGGUGUGAUGGUCGCCGACCUUCCUACAUGAAGCAGGUAACAUCACUUGUCAAUGCAAAAUGUAUUAGAACUUGAUGACAUGGCGCUUUGAGUUUGAGAAAUAAACGUAUAUUUAAA